UAACGCGUGGGAAUCUGCCCUGGAGUGGGGGAUAACCCGGGGAAAGCCGGGCUAAUACCGCAUACGUCCUGAGGGAGAAAGAUUUAUCGCUCUAGGAGGGGCCCGCGUCGGAUUAGCUAGUUGGUGAGGUAACGGCUCACCAAGGCGACGAUCCGUAGCUGGUCUGAGAGGAUGAUCAGCCCCACUGGGACUGAGACACGGCCCAGACUCCUACGGGAGGCAGCAGUGGGGAUUUUUGGACAAUGGGGGCAACCCUGAUCCAGCAAUGCCGCGGGAUGAUGAAGGCCUUAGGGUUGU
Molecule: ribosomal RNA, 297 nt
Filed under: uncultured Sphingomonadaceae bacterium
Lineage: Bacteria; Pseudomonadati; Pseudomonadota; Alphaproteobacteria; Sphingomonadales; Sphingomonadaceae
Description: partial 16S ribosomal RNA
Rfam family: Bacterial small subunit ribosomal RNA
Source: RNAcentral